This 266-nucleotide small nuclear RNA is filed under the name Oryctolagus cuniculus (rabbit). RNAcentral's name for it is "7SK RNA". It matches the Rfam family "7SK RNA". Rfam says of the family: 7SK was discovered as an abundant small nuclear RNA in the mid-70s but a possible function has only recently been suggested. Two independent studies have found that 7SK RNA binds the CDK9/cyclin T complex (known as elongation factor P-TEFb). The record is from Rfam by way of RNAcentral. Lineage: Eukaryota; Metazoa; Chordata; Mammalia; Lagomorpha; Leporidae.
GGAUGAGAGGGUGAUCUGACAGAGACAGCUGUCAUCCGUCAUCCUGUUGACCUUCAAGGUUAAUUCACCUGAUCUGGCUGGCUGACUAAGGGUCAUCUCCAUCCACCCUCACUACCCCAUAGGCAUCCCCUUGAAACUCCUUGAUGAUAAUAAAGAAAGGAAAAGAGAAUCCUUCUUUCAGCAGGGAUGGCUAUUCAUUCUUUCAGUAAAUGUUUAUUGAGCUUCUACCAUAUCAACUACUGUCUGAGAUUCACUUGGAAUCAACA